CCUUUGACGUUAGCGGCGGACGGGUGAGUAACACGUGGGUAACCUACCUAUAAGACUGGGAUAACUUCGGGAAACCGGAGCUAAUACCGGAUAAUAUUUCGAACCGCAUGGUUCGAUAGUGAAAGGUGGUUUUGCUAUCACUUAUAGAUGGACCCGCGCCGUAUUAGCUAGUUGGUAAGGUAACGGCUCACCAAGGCGACGAUACGUAGCCGACCUGAGAGGGUGAUCGGCCACACUGGAACUGAGACACGGUCCAGACUCCUACGGGAGGCAGCAGAG
Molecule: ribosomal RNA, 279 nt
Filed under: uncultured Staphylococcus sp.
Lineage: Bacteria; Bacillati; Bacillota; Bacilli; Caryophanales; Staphylococcaceae
Description: partial 16S ribosomal RNA
Rfam family: Bacterial small subunit ribosomal RNA
Source: RNAcentral